CUGGCCUACGGGGGGCAGCAGUGGGGAAUUUUGGACAAUGGGCGCAAGCCUGAUCCAGCUAUUCCGCGUGUAGGAUGAAGGCCCUCGGGUUGUAAACCACUUUUGUAGAGAACGAAAAGACACCUUUGAAUAAAGGGUGUUGCUGACGGUACUCUAAGAAUAAGCACCGGCUAACUACGUGCCAGCAGCAGCGGUAAUACGUAGGGUGCGAGCGUUAAUCGGAAUUACUGGGCGUAAAGGGUGCGCAGGCGGUUGAGUAAGGAAGAUAUGAAAUCCACGAGCUUAACUCGGGAAUGGCAUAUGUG
RNAcentral lists this ribosomal RNA (305 nucleotides) under uncultured bacterium. RNAcentral's name for it is "bacterial SSU rRNA". It matches the Rfam family "Bacterial small subunit ribosomal RNA", at positions 332 to 631 of the family's 1533-position model. The record is from RNAcentral.